GAUCAUGGCUCAGGAUGAACGCUAGCUACAGGCUUAACACAUGCAAGUCGAGGGGGCAGCAUGGUCUUAGCUUGCUAAGACUGAUGGCGACCGGCGCAUGGGUGAGUAACACGUAUCCAACCUGCCGUCUACUCUUGGACAGCCUUCUGAAAGGAAGAUUAAUACAAGAUGGCAUCAUGAGUCCGCAUGUUCAUAUGAUUAAAGGUAUUCCGGUAGACG
Molecule: ribosomal RNA, 219 nt
Filed under: uncultured bacterium
Lineage: Bacteria
Description: partial 16S ribosomal RNA
Rfam family: Bacterial small subunit ribosomal RNA
Source: RNAcentral